RNAcentral lists this unclassified non-coding RNA (202 nucleotides) under Hevea brasiliensis (rubber tree). The record is from RNAcentral. Lineage: Eukaryota; Viridiplantae; Streptophyta; Magnoliopsida; Malpighiales; Euphorbiaceae.
UUAAAGAAGAUAGAAGCUGUAGAGCGGUGAUGAAUCCUGCUGGAGUUUGUUAUGUUAAAAGACAAUUGUGGGGAAAAGAGCAAAUACACAUUUAUUGCAUUCAUCAGAGUUGCACUGAUCAGUUUUUCUAAGUUUUAACUUUUCUCAUGUGACGAGCUGUGGAGCUUUUGACAUUUUGUUUCUUCUGUUGUAUUGGUAAAUG